ACAGUUAACAUGAAAGAAAAAACACUAUUUACAGUAAGGUUUAAAUCACAGUUAACAUGAAAGAAAAAACACUAUUUACAGUAAGGUUUAAAUCACAGUUAACACGAAAGAAGAAAAAAGCUGUAAUGUAUAAAAUAUAACUUAUUGUUAUAUCUUAGGACUUCUUACACUUCUCUUAGAAUAUUUUCUUUUUUUCAUGACAGAAAAGUUAACCUUUUCAAGUAGGCACUCCCUGUACUUCUAAACUCUGGUUCCAUGUCAGAUUUUAACACAGGGGAGUAGUUUGAAGCAUUCCUAAACUCACAGACCUUUAAUUCUAGGGUCAGAUUGAAAACACUGUGGGGAGCUCUACAGCAUUCCUAAACUAACAUCAAACUGGUCUUGAGUCAGAUAUUGAACAGUGGGGAAAAGCACAGAUGAACACUGGGUCUUGUUCCCUGGUCUACAGAAAUCUAAGACAUUCCUAAACUAACAUCAAACUGGUCUUGGGUCAGAUAUUGAACAGAGGGUAAAAGCCCUGGGAAACAUUACUGAACACUGGGUCUUGUUCUCUGGUCAGGUUGAGACCACUGGGGUGUAGUUUUCUACUUUUUAGUAGGAUGGUUCACUUGUGUUUUGCACACGUUCUUGACUUAAAGUUCCGCAAAGUCUCGUACACACACACACACACACACACACACACACACACACACACACGUCGUCAGAGUCUGUGGACAGAUUUACCUGUCAAUCUAGAGGGUUUUCUCCUAAGAGGUGGUGCAGACAGUCAUCCUGGUCUUAUUUUCUUUGUGUGGGUGCCAGACACAGAAGCCUCCACUCAAAGUAAAUUUGCUCACUUUUCUUUCACUUUCCUUUUGUGCCUUUAAUAACUCUUCUCAAGGUCUAUAAACCAAUUAAAAACUUGUCAAUGUCUAGAAACCAUUUAUAAACUUGUCAAUGUCUAGAAACCCUUUCAACUCUUCUCAAUGUCUCAAAGCCCUUCAAACUCUUCUUAAUGUCUCAAAGCCCUUCAAACUCUUCUUAAUGUCUCAAUGCCCUUUAAAUUAUUUUCAAUGUCUCAAGGACACAUAAACAAAUCUGGACUUAAUGGGGCUGAAUUAAGGUGUCAGGACAUCAAAGCCAGGAUGUGGGCAUGGCAUGG
Long non-coding RNA from Oncorhynchus tshawytscha (Chinook salmon), 1141 nucleotides. Lineage: Eukaryota; Metazoa; Chordata; Actinopteri; Salmoniformes; Salmonidae. The record is from Ensembl.